This 497-nucleotide ribosomal RNA is filed under the name uncultured bacterium. RNAcentral describes it as "bacterial SSU rRNA". It matches the Rfam family "Bacterial small subunit ribosomal RNA", at positions 24 to 507 of the family's 1533-position model. The record is from RNAcentral.
UCAGGAUGAACGCUAGCGGCAGGCUUAACACAUGCAAGUCGAGGGGCAGCAUGAACCGACCUUCGGGAAGGUUUGAUGGCGACCGGCGCAAGGGUGCGUAACGCGUGAGCAACUUGCCCGUUUCUGGGGGAAUAACCCGGUGGAAACGCCGACUAAUACCCCCAUAGCAUCAACUUAGGGCAUCCUUAGUUGAUUAAAGAAUUUCGGAAACGGAUAGGCUCGCGUGACAUUAGCUAGAUGGCGGGGUAACGGCCCACCAUGGCUACGAUGUCUAGGGGUUCUGAGAGGAAGGUCCCCCACACUGGAACUGAGACACGGUCCAGACUCCUACGGGAGGCAGCAGUGAGGAAUAUUGGUCAAUGGUCGAGAGACUGAACCAGCCAUGCCGCGUGAAGGUCACGGCCCUAUGGGUCUUAAACUUCUUUUGUAAGGGAGCAAUAAGUCUCACGUGUGGGAUGAUGAGAGUACCUUACGAAUAAGCAUCGGCUAACUCCGUG